UGGGGAAUUUUGGACAAUGGGCGAAAGCCUGAUCCAGCAAUGCCGCGUGUGUGAAGAAGGCCUUCGGGUUGUAAAGCACUUUUGUCCGGAAAGAAAUGGCUCUGGUUAAUACCUGGGGUCGAUGACGGUACCGGAAGAAUAAGGACCGGCUAACUACGUGCCAGCAGCCGCGGUAAUACGUAGGGUCCAAGCGUUAAUCGGAAUUACUGGGCGUAAAGCGUGCGCAGGCGGUUGUGCAAGACCGAUGUGAAAUCCCCGAGCUUAACUUGGGAAUUGCAUUGGUGACUGCACGGCUAGAGUGUGUCAGAGGGGGGUAGAAUUCCACGUGUAGCAGUGAAAUGCGUAGAGAUGUGGAGGAAUACCGAUGGCGAAGGCAGCCCCCUGGGAUAACACUGACGCUCAUGCACGAAAGCGUGGGGAGCAAACAGGAUUAGAUACCCUGGUAGUCCACGCCCUAAACGAUGUCAACUAGUUGUUGGGGAUUCAUUUCCUUAGUAACGUAGCUAACGCGUGAAGUUGACCGCCUGGGGAGUACGGUCGCAAGAUUAA
This 549-nucleotide ribosomal RNA is filed under the name uncultured bacterium. RNAcentral's name for it is "bacterial SSU rRNA". It matches the Rfam family "Bacterial small subunit ribosomal RNA", at positions 355 to 897 of the family's 1533-position model. The record is from RNAcentral.